Molecule: ribosomal RNA, 468 nt
Filed under: uncultured bacterium
Lineage: Bacteria
Description: partial 16S ribosomal RNA
Rfam family: Bacterial small subunit ribosomal RNA
Source: RNAcentral
GACGAACGCUGGCGGCGUGCUUAACACAUGCAAGUCGAACGGAAAGGCCCUGCUUUUGUGGGGUGCUCGAGUGGCGAACGGGUGAGUAACACGUGAGUAACCUGCCCUUGACUUUGGGAUAACUUCAGGAAACUGGGGCUAAUACCGGAUAGGAGCUCCUGCUGCAUGGUGGGGGUUGGAAAUUUUCGGCGGGUGGGGAUGGACUCGCGGCUUAUGAGCUUGUUGGUGGGGUAGUGGCUUACCAAGGCUUUGACGGGUAGCCGGCCUGAGAGGGUGACCGGCCACAUUGGGACUGAGAGACGGCCCAGACUCCUACGGGAGGCAGCAGGGGGGAAUAUUGCACAAUGGGCGGGAGCCUGAUGCAGCAACGCCGCGUGCGGGAUGACGGCCUUCGGGUUGUAAACCGCUUUAGCCUGUGACGAAGCGUGAGUGACGGUAAUGGGUAAAGAAGCACCGGCUAACUACGUG